GACGAACGCUGGCGGCGUGCCUAAUACAUGCAAGUUGAGCGCUGAAGGUUGGUACUUGUCCCAACUGGAUGAGCAGCGAACGGGUGAGUAACGCGUGGGGAAUCUGCCUUUGAGCGGGGGACAACAUUUGGAAACGAAUGCUAAUACCGCAUAAAAACUUUAAACACAAGUUUUAAGCUUGAAAGAUGCAAUUGCAUCACUCAAAGAUGAUCCCGCGUUGUAUUAGCUAGUUGGUGAGGUAAAGGCUCACCAAGGCGAUGAUACAUAGCCGACCUGAGAGGGUGAUCGGCCACAUUGGGACUGAGACACGGCCCAAACUCCUACGGGAGGCAGCAGUAGGGAAUCUUCGGCAAUGGACGAAAGUCUGACCGAGCAACGCCGCGGGAGUGAAGAAGGUUUUCGGAUCGUAAAACUCUGUUGGUAGAGAAGAACGUUGGUGAGAGUGGAAAGCUCAUCAAGUGACGGUAACUACCCAGAAAGGGACGGCUAACUACGUG
RNAcentral lists this ribosomal RNA (497 nucleotides) under uncultured bacterium. Its description in RNAcentral is "partial 16S ribosomal RNA". It matches the Rfam family "Bacterial small subunit ribosomal RNA", at positions 28 to 507 of the family's 1533-position model. The record is from RNAcentral.